AUUGAACGCUGGCGGCAGGCCUAACACAUGCAAGUCGAGCGGAUGAAGGGAGCUUGCUCCUGGAUUCAGCGGCGGACGGGUGAGUAAUGCCUAGGAAUCUGCCUGGUAGUGGGGGAUAACGUCCGGAAACGGGCGCUAAUACCGCAUACGUCCUGAGGGAGAAAGUGGGGGAUCUUCGGACCUCACGCUAUCAGAUGAGCCUAGGUCGGAUUAGCUAGUUGGUGGGGUAAAGGCCUACCAAGGCGACGAUCCGUAACUGGUCUGAGAGGAUGAUCAGUCACACUGGAACUGAGACACGGUCCAGACUCCGACGGGAGGCAGCAGUGGGGAAUAUUGGACAAUGGGCGAAAGCCUGAUCCAGCCAUGCCGCGUGUGUGAAGAAGGUCUUCGGAUUGUAAAGCACUUUAAGUUGGGAGAAAGGGCAGUAAGUUAAAACCUGGCUGUUUGGACGUUACCAACAGAAUAAGCACCGGCAAACUUCGU
RNAcentral lists this ribosomal RNA (483 nucleotides) under uncultured bacterium. RNAcentral describes it as "partial 16S ribosomal RNA". It matches the Rfam family "Bacterial small subunit ribosomal RNA", at positions 30 to 506 of the family's 1533-position model. The record is from RNAcentral.